Molecule: ribosomal RNA, 326 nt
Filed under: uncultured eukaryote
Lineage: Eukaryota
Description: partial 18S ribosomal RNA
Rfam family: Eukaryotic small subunit ribosomal RNA
Source: RNAcentral
CCCUUAGAUGUUCUGGGCCGCACGCGCGCUACACUGAUGCAUUCAACAAGCAUAGCCUUGACCGAGAGGUCCGGGUAAUCUUUGAAACUGCAUCGUGAUGGGGCUAGAUUAUUGCAAUUAUUAAUCUUCAACGAGGAAUGCCUAGUAAGCGUGAUUCAUCAAAUCGCGUUGAUUACGUCCCUGCCCUUUGUACACACCGCCCGUCGCUCCUACCGAUUGAAUGUGUUGGUGAGGAGCUCGGAUUGGCAGCAGUUGGUGGUUCGCCACCGGCUAUUGCUGAGAAGUCCUCCAAACCGCCCCAUUUAGAGGAAGGAGAAGUCGUAACA